GUGCCAGACUCCUACGGGAGGCAGCAGUGGGGGAUAUUGGACAAUGGGGGAAACCCUGAUCCAGCGAUGCCGCGUGAGGGAAGAAGGUUUUCGGAUUGUAAACCUCUGUGGACAGGGACGAUAAUGACGGUACCUGUCAAGAAAGCCACGGCUAACUACGUGCCAGCAGCCGCGGUAAUACGUAGGGAGCGAGCGUUGUCCGGAUUUACUGGGUGUAAAGGGUGCGUAGGCGGCUUGGCAAGUCAGUAGUGAAAUCCAUGGGCUUAACCCAUGAACUGCUAUUGAAACUGUCGAGCUUGAGUGAAGUAGAGGUAGGCGGAAUUCCCGGUGUAGCGGUGAAAUGCGUAGAGAUCGGGAGGAACACCAGUGGCGAAGGCGGCUUACUGGACUGUAACUGACGUUGAGGCUCGAAAGCGUGGGGAGCAAACAGGAUUAGAUACCCUGGUAC
RNAcentral lists this ribosomal RNA (448 nucleotides) under uncultured bacterium. RNAcentral's name for it is "bacterial SSU rRNA". It matches the Rfam family "Bacterial small subunit ribosomal RNA", at positions 328 to 793 of the family's 1533-position model. The record is from RNAcentral.